This 216-nucleotide unclassified non-coding RNA is filed under the name soil metagenome. RNAcentral describes it as "partial contains 5.8S ribosomal RNA, internal transcribed spacer 2, and large subunit ribosomal RNA". The record is from RNAcentral.
AACGCACGAGACCUGCGGACCUGCGGAGGGAUCAUUACAGGACUCGCAAGACUCCUACAACCCUGUGAACCUACUAUACGAACGUUGCUUCGGCGGGUGCGCCCCGGGGAUUCGUUCCCGCGGCGCGUCAGCCCGCCGGCAGCCUACAAAUUCUGUUUCUUUGCGUUGGCAUCUCGAGAAAAACAAAUAAGUUAAAACUUUCAGCAAUGGAUCUCU